Molecule: non-coding RNA, 74 nt
Organism: Pavlovales sp. CCMP2436
Lineage: Eukaryota; Haptophyta; Pavlovophyceae; Pavlovales
Source: the annotation of a GenBank genome assembly
GGCUUACUAACUCAGUUGGUUAGAGUGCAAGAUUCAUAACCUUGAAGUCGCUGGUUCGAGCCCAGUGUAGGCCA